GACGAACGCUGGCGGCGUGCUUAACACAUGCAAGUCGAACGGAAAGGCCCUGCUUUUGUGGGGUGCUCGAGUGGCGAACGGGUGAGUAACACGUGAGUAACCUGCCCUUGACUUUGGGAUAACUUCAGGAAACUGGGGCUAAUACCGGAUAGGAGCUCCUGCUGCAUGGUGGGGGUUGGAAAGUUUCGGCGGUUGGGUAUGGACUCGCGGCUUAUCAGCUUGUUGGUGGGGUAGUGGCUUACCAAGGCUUUGACGGGUAGCCGGCCUGAGAGGGUGACCGGCCACAUGGGGACUGGGAUACGGCCCAGACUCCUAGGGGAGGCAGCAGUGGGGAAUAUUGCACAAGGGGGGGAAGCCUGAUGCAGAAACGCCGGGUGGGGGAUGACGGCCUUGGGGUUGUAAACCGCUUUCGCCUGUGACGAAGGGGGAGUGACGGUAAUGGGUAAAGAAGCACCGGCUAACUACGU
RNAcentral lists this ribosomal RNA (467 nucleotides) under uncultured bacterium. Its description in RNAcentral is "partial 16S ribosomal RNA". It matches the Rfam family "Bacterial small subunit ribosomal RNA", at positions 28 to 506 of the family's 1533-position model. The record is from RNAcentral.